This 253-nucleotide ribosomal RNA is filed under the name uncultured bacterium. RNAcentral's name for it is "partial 16S ribosomal RNA". It matches the Rfam family "Bacterial small subunit ribosomal RNA", at positions 524 to 776 of the family's 1533-position model. The record is from RNAcentral.
GACAGAGGUGCCGAGCGUUAGGCGGAAUCACUGGGCUUAAAGCGUGUGUAGGCGGACCCGUCAGUGUCUUGUGAAAUCCCACGGCUCAACCGUGGAACGGCUGGGCAUACUGCGGGUCUUGAGAGACCUAGGGGCGAGCGGAACAGGCGGUGGAGCGGUGAAAUGCGUAGAUAUCAGGAAGAACACCCGUGGCGAAGGCGGCUCUCUGGUACGUGACUGACGCUGAGACGCGAAAGCGUGGGGAGCAAACAGG